AGGCGAGAGGUCCGAUCGGGGCUUGUUUGAGUGACACAGCCACGUAGAUGAGGCUAUUUCGUCUCGGUGUGAGUGUCUGAUGUGCCCUGCUGCACUGCCACACUCUCACCCGCUAUUCACUGAUGAUGGACCACGCGUCAUAGGUACCAAAACAAACUCCUUUGCAUCACACAAGACAAGUUCAACUUUUUCUUUAAAAAAAAAAAAAAAGCCUAUACUGAAAUUAGUUUCUUGAAAAGCGACUGAAAAUUAGUUUUAAUACAUACAGUGUAGAUGUUAUUGGGUGUAGUGAAAAUGUAAACAAUGUUAUUUACAUGGGAAGAUUUAUUUGUUUUUAUUUUUUGGCACGCCGGGAAAAAAAAUGUUGCAUUUUUGCUCACAAGAAAAUCUUGCUCCUUAUACUGUAACAAGAAUUACACUGCUUACAGCAGGGGUCACCAAUCUUUAGGAAUCCGAGCAACUUCCAAAAGUGAUAGGCAGUGUUUGGUAUUAUCUGUCUUCAUCCCGUGGUGGGGGGCUAAAAUAUUAAAUUAAGUUUUACAUUAAAAAUAGAUUUUACACAUCUAAUUAAAAAUUGAGAAAAAUCUUGACAUUUUGAUUGAGAAUUGGCUGCCACUGCAAAGUACAACCAUAAUUAAAAAAAAUAAAAUAAAAAAAACUUCCACUCUGACUUUACCUUUGUCUUGCCUGCACCCGCAAGAGAAGAUAAAAACACAAUCUUAAGAGUGAUGCCCCCAGUUUGGUGAUAACGUUCACUAAAGAUUUUCAGAAAUGUUCUAUGGGGCCUGAUGCAAUCUCUUUUGGGACUUCUGCUGAUUCACAAAGAUAGUUGGAGGUGUAGUCCAGGCUUGCUUUCUUUCCUUUGCCUCCUGUAGUUGAUAAUUGUCACAUGUCUACAACUUCUCUGUUUCAGAUAGUGACUAGAGGAGUCGAAUAACAGAUUUGUCCCAAUUGGGAGCAAAAAGCCAGCUACUUCAAUUGCAACAAUUCCAUGCAGUUAGAAUGCCGAUCAGUUCUGCAAAAGGUAAAUAAUAGGGGUAGCUUCUUUUUCAUUUGAUGGUCUUACCUUCAGUGCAGCAACUGGGUGACCUUCAAUCCCUUGCAAGUGUCAAACCAAAGCUAUUUAGGGCAUGCCUGGUUAAAUGAUCACCCGCUGUUUCACCAUUAAUUGCAUACUGUGCCAGCAACCGGAGUCAGCACAUCUUCCCUAGGUUGUAGGUGCCAAGUGCCUGGACUCAUUUUUCACUAACGGUCGGGUAGGCCUUUCUCGCCUCAGGCUAUCACAAACACAUCGGCUAGAACCGGAGCAGGUGUUAAAGGAUAUCACCGCUCGCGUGUAGUAUCCAGAUCAUCAGUGGAGACACAAGUAGCAACUCAGUGACAAAAGUAGGGUCACACCCAACACCUGCCGCUGACCAUCGACGGUGCUGUGGUGGAGAGAGUGAGCAGCGCCAAGUUCCUGGGGGUGCACAUCAGUGAGGAUCUCUCCUGGUCCACCAACACCGCAUCACUGGCAAAGAAAGCUCAGCGCCGCCUGUACUUCCUGCGGAAACUCAGGCGAGCGAGCGCUCCUCCGGCCGUCAUGACUGCAUUUUACCGCGGCACCAUUGAGAGCGUCCUCUCCAGCUGUAUUGCUGUUUGGGGUGGCGGCUGCACUGACUACAACUUGAAGGCCCUGCAGCGCAUAGUGAACACGGCUGGUAAGAUUGCUGGUGCUUCGCUCCCCUCCUUGAAGGACAUUUACACCUCCCAUCUCACCCGCAAGGCGACCACGAUUGUGAGUGAUGUGAGUCACCCCGCUCACUCUUUGUUCGAGCUUCUGCCCUCUGGGAAGAGGUACAGAAGCCUGCGCUCCCGCACCACCAGACUCUCAAACAGCUUCAUGCUCCAGGCUGUUAGGAUCCUGAACUCGCUCCCCCGUUCUGCGUAGCGUCUUGUACUUUUACUGUCUGUACUGUCUGUAUGCACACUGGCUCUUAUUUGUUGUGUUAUCUGUUUAUUUAUUAUUUAUUAUUACUCUUAUUAUUUAUUGUUUGUGCCUUUUUGUGUAUGAUGUUUUUUACUUUUGCGCUAUGCUUGCUGGCUCCGUUUUGCUCCUCUUAUUUAUUGUGUUAUCUGUUUAUUUAUUAUUUAUUCAUCACUCUUACUAUUGAUUGUUUGAAUUUCUGCCUUCUUGUUUUUAUAUUGUGUCGCGUACUUGUAUGUCUAUCGUGUUAUGUGUCUCGUCACCGUGGGAUAGAGAAAAACGUAAUUUCGGUCUCUUUGUGUGUUGUGACAUGUGGAGAGAUUGACAAUAAAGCUGACUUUGAC
Molecule: long non-coding RNA, 2310 nt
Organism: Syngnathus typhle (broad-nosed pipefish)
Lineage: Eukaryota; Metazoa; Chordata; Actinopteri; Syngnathiformes; Syngnathidae
Exons: 3
Source: RefSeq, a predicted model, not a curated record